UACGAAGGGGGCUAGCGUUGUUCGGAGUUACUGGGCGUAAAGCGCGCGCAGGCGGUUUUUCAAGUCAGUGGUGAAAGCCCGGAGCUCAACUCCGGAACUGCCAUUGAAACUGUAAAACUUGAGGACGAGAGAGGUGAGUGGAAUUCCCAGUGUAGAGGUGAAAUUCGUAGAUAUUGGGAAGAACACCGGUGGCGAAGGCGGCUCACUGGCUCGUAUCUGACGCUCAGGCGCGACAGCGUGGGGAUCAAACAGG
RNAcentral lists this ribosomal RNA (253 nucleotides) under uncultured bacterium. Its description in RNAcentral is "partial 16S ribosomal RNA". It matches the Rfam family "Bacterial small subunit ribosomal RNA", at positions 524 to 776 of the family's 1533-position model. The record is from RNAcentral.